RNAcentral lists this ribosomal RNA (469 nucleotides) under uncultured Acidobacteriaceae bacterium. RNAcentral describes it as "bacterial SSU rRNA". It matches the Rfam family "Bacterial small subunit ribosomal RNA", at positions 8 to 489 of the family's 1533-position model. Lineage: Bacteria; Pseudomonadati; Acidobacteriota; Terriglobia; Terriglobales; Acidobacteriaceae. The record is from RNAcentral.
AGAGUUUGAUCAUGGCUCAGAAUCAACGCUGGCGGCGUGCCUCAGACAUGCAAGUCGAACGAUUAAAGCUCUCUUCGGAGAGUGUAUAGAGUGGCGCACGGGUGAGUAACACGUAAGUAAUCUACCUUUGAGUGGGGAAUAACAGUCGGAAACGACUGCUAAUACCGCAUAAUGCAGCGGCACCGCAAGGUGACAGUUGUUAAAGGAGCAAUCCGCUUAAAGAGGAGCUUGCGGCAGAUUAGCUAGUUGGUAAGGUAAUGGCUUACCAAGGCUACGAUCUGUAUCCGGUCUAAGAGGACGGUCGGACACACUGACACUGAAUAACGGGUCAGACUCCUACGGGAGGCAGCAGUCGGGAAUUUUGGGCAAUGGGCGAAAGCCUGACCCAGCAACGCCGCGUGAAGGAUGAAGUAUUUCGGUAUGUAAACUUCGAAAGAAUAGGAAGAAUAAAUGACGGUACUAUUUAUAA